This is a long non-coding RNA of Zalophus californianus (California sea lion), 210 nucleotides long. RefSeq lists it as uncharacterized. Lineage: Eukaryota; Metazoa; Chordata; Mammalia; Carnivora; Otariidae. The transcript is spliced from 3 exons. The record is from RefSeq and is a predicted model, not a curated record.
GCGGGGGAGACACACCAGAUUUUUCUGUAAAGGGCCAGAUAGUAAAUAUUUUAGGCUUUUCAGGCCAAGAGGAAAAUCAACAGUAUUAUUUAUGUAUGCAAAUGAGAAGAAUGGAAUUCUUUGGGAUGACAUUUUGCUUAAUUAGGAUCAAGGGGCGCCUGGGUGGCUCAGUCGCUAAGCGUCUGCCUUCGGCUCAGGUCAUGGUCCCAG